CCCUUAGAUGUUCUGGGCUGCACGCGCGCUACACCGAUGCGCUCAACGAGUUUACGACCUUGCCCGGAAGGGUUGGGUAAUCUUUUUAAAACGCAUCGUGAUGGGGAUAGAUUAUUGCAAUUAUUAAUCUUUAACGAGGAAUUCCUAGUAAGCGCGAGUCAUCAGCUCGUGCUGAUUACGUCCCUGCCCUUUGUACACACCGCCCGUCGCUCCUACCGAUUGAAUGAUCCGGUGAAUAAUUCGGACUGCAGCAGUGUUCAGUUCCUGAACGUUGCAGCGGAAAGUUUAGUGAACCUUAUCACUUAGAGGAAGGAGAAGUCGUAACA
This 326-nucleotide ribosomal RNA is filed under the name uncultured eukaryote. Its description in RNAcentral is "partial 18S ribosomal RNA". It matches the Rfam family "Eukaryotic small subunit ribosomal RNA", at positions 1470 to 1796 of the family's 1831-position model. The record is from RNAcentral.